Molecule: long non-coding RNA, 203 nt
Filed under: Mytilus galloprovincialis (Mediterranean mussel)
Lineage: Eukaryota; Metazoa; Mollusca; Bivalvia; Mytilida; Mytilidae
Source: RNAcentral
AAACCAUGCAAUAUGCCAAAAAUCGUCCGGAAGCUAGUUUCGAAAUAUAAUGUUAUGUGACAUGUAUCUGGAAGGCUACCAUGUAGGGACUCUGUGUACACCAUCAAAAGUGCAAAUAUUUGAUUCUAUUUUUAGAAAUAAGCAAUUCUAUUUUUAGAACACAUCCAAGCAUUGGCACAAGCAUUUUCUUAUGAAAAAAUGGC